GGAAGUGAGCGAGUCUAGGGAGGAUAGGUUCUAGGUCUACGCGAGUGGUGGCAGGACGGCAAGGGGUGGCAGCAGGCGUAGGUUCGGCGGGGCGGCACGAGGGAUGGCCUGACAGCUCAGGUGGCGUCGGGCAGAGGGUUGGCGGCGUGGCGGAGGGGAGGCAGGGCGGCACAGGGGACGUAGUGGUGGCGUGACAACACACGGGACGGCGGGCCGGCACGGGGUGCGACGUGACGGGAUAGCACGGGGGAGAAGAAGGGGAGCAUAUGGAGGUCGUACCAGCACUCAGCACUGCCGCUACGCGCUGGGUACCACUGGAACGGUGCCGACCUCAACUUGCUGGUGGCCUAGAUGGGCUGUAGCAUGGGGGAGGAAGAGAGGGUUGUCCUUGUACAAGAAUGGCCACAAGUCCAAGACUACCAUUAAGUCCGAGAACGUACUUAUUCGAAAAACUCCACUACAAUACAUCAAAUCCGAUGAACGCUCGGAAACCGUUGAUUUUUUCCUCGCAGAUGGUUGCUUUAAGGGGGUAGAGGUCAAGGUGGACGAACAAGUGGUAGAGAACGUCUAAAAGCUUUGUUCGGUUCUUGGUGGUCGAAAUACACGAGACGUUGUUUGUCUAUACAACGAAGGUUUCAUCAAAGUUUCUGAAGUUGUAUAGGUUUGUUCGCCUUACAACGUAUACGAUGAUAACCCUCAUGACUAGGUCUUUGAUUCCGACCACUAUAACUCAGUCCCCGCGGUCAGCUUGACAAAGCGGCCUGUGCGAAACGUGUAACCUGGAGAAAUCUAGGUUUCUGUGUCCAACACGGUGCACACGGAGGGUAGGUUAAUCCACGAGGGGGUCAAAACAACGUUGGCGAGUGCUUCCCCCAGUACUCCCCGAGUAAAGCGCAAUCAGUCUCCUCGUCUCCCUGCCACCUAGAUCGCUGGCCUCCCCGCUGAGUAGUCGCCGCGGACUCUAGACCCUGUCCUCCCCACUGCCGCAGCUAACUUAGGUCCUGCCUAGAGCGAAGGGGAUCCUGAUUACCUAGGAAACCGUCUACAACGUCCGUGGAGAUUACUCUUACUCCCCUUAUACUUCCAAUUCUUCUUCUUUAUUCUUCUCUCCGUUAGAUACACCGAAAUUCAGUUCCAAAUUGAGUUUUUCCGAACCACUUUAACCCUUCGUUCAUAAUGACCUUUGUAUCUUAGUAUUCCUACCCUGACAAACUUUUGAACAACCUGUACACCGGAAAAUUCCACGGGGUGCUCGAGUAACUCAAACAACACUACUUGUGCUUAGUGUAUGAGAAACUCAAGUUUGUGUUCUUGUUUAGGUAGUAGAAGUCGUUUGAGUACUACUUUUCCUAAAAAUUGCACGGUAAACCACUAUCUGAGCACUUCGAAAAAUUCUUCUCACUACUUGUACUAGAAGCGUGGUAGAUGUUCCUUCCCUUGUACCGAGGUUAGCGGGUACAACAGUUCAACGAGUUAUCAACAUCGCUACUUCUGCACCAAUACUAUUUAUCCUGAACCCGCGGGGAACGAAACCGUUAUCAAAACACGGGUCCGUAACCGUUAUAAUGCACUUAGAGCUCAUACAUCCGUACAGAAACCAGGUACUUAAGCAAACCCUACACGUAAACAACCGUACUCGCUACUUCCUCCAACGUUAGAAAGUUCUCUUCUUCUACUACGUUCGUUUAUGUCUUUUUCGUCAUUUCAAAGUCUAGCGAAGUACGGAAGGGUACAAUCGCUAGUAUAUGUACCUAGUAUAAGUAUAGGGCCAGCCGGAGGGUUUACUCGUACAUUAACUAAUAAAGUACAGCUCCUAUACAAAACAAACAGUUUUCCUAAAACUAACCAACCUAUUACAACUGUUCUUGUUAGAGUGAGAACAGGUUGGAAAAAUACCCUUUGUGUGGGUUCAUUAAAACGAUGUAGAGCAGAUAUAUAAAGAAAACGGUUACCUCAUAAUUGUGAGGAACAAAAAAACGAAUUAAACGUACAUCGUUAGAAACGAAAAGGUAAAUCCAAUACAAUUCGAAAAAUAAAAGCGGUGAGUACAAAACAAAAAGUUCUAGGCCUCAAACACGUUGUGGGGAUACGUUGUGUUGAGUAAACUGUCCUUUAACCACGAUUUCGUCGGUCACCCGUCCCUCAACCGCGACUUCGUGGAUCACCGGUUCCUUCGGUUUAAAUUCCACGACUACAAGUUCGUUUGCUUAGAGUUAGUUCGCUCCGAGUUGGUUUACAACUACAACUUGGUGUAGAUAGUAGUAGCGAGUUGCUAACCGACAUCGUUAGUAAGGGAUCGAACGUUCUAGAUUCCCAUGUUUAAGUCAAGGUUUACAACAUGCUGUUCGUGUACCCAUAAAAACGUCGCUUCCACCUACUGCAUCAUCCGUUCAAAUAUGUCACAAAUUUUCCCUAACGUCACGUUGGCCUACCAGCGAGAGGAAGCACUACAACCUCUGUGGUAGUGUCGAUGGUUACUCGGGUUGAAAAGGAAACUUCGUGGAUAGUACCUACUUACAGUGCCUUUUCUCUUACUACAAUUUCGACGUUUACGACCGUAACCACGAGUUCGAGUUCGACUUCCAUGUUGUGGAUCGUACUUGUUCCUACUUCAGUGACCUAACUUGGAUGUUCAACGUUGUGUCUGACGACUUUGAGCACUAGUUGUUUCUCACUCAAAACUCUACCUUCCGUUGCAGAGUAGAGUGUCGGGGGUGAGAAGAUACUACGUGUAUCCUCACGCUGUCGGUCGUAAACCCUCCUGAUCGGUAGUACGCUCAACAAGAAUUUCCCGAGACUUCUGAUACUCAACUACGUACCAUACCUACUCGGAUGUUAGUUCUUCUCGUGGCAGUCGAGGUAGAUACGUUUGUAGGAGCACAAAGCACAAAGUCUGUUGCUACUGUCGGGUUUUUUAGUUUAACAACUACGUUCGUCACCGGGAUCGUGUGUACGGUUCUUGUGAUCCUUCCUUUCCUACCGAUUUCAAGGCAGGCAUUUUUAUGGUUCCGUUUCUUCGUUUUUCAGCUACUUCGACGUUGAUACAUACUCUGCAUAGAAUUCGUACCAUUUGGUAAUUCCUCUAGUGGUGGGUCACUUGUUCACUGUGGAAAACAGUUCUAUCCACCAAAAAUGUAACCUAUGUUCAUUAAGGAACAUACGAAGUUCGGAGCGACCCUAUACUUGCUACCCCAAUACAGUGAUACAUAGCUCUACUUGUUGGAGUGUAGAGUACGUCCUUCGUUAUCCCAACACUUUUUAUGUACAAGAGUCAGGUGCGCCCCUAGGAUGAUUUUAAUCUGGGUAGUUGGAAGGUUUGUGGUCUAGAGUACGGGCUCGAACUUUCCCGGUAGUGUUUCAAGUUCCAAGUUUUUAAACUGGAGGAAAAAAAAAGUGUUUUCAAGUACUAGCGGUAACCUAUCAAGAAACGCGUUUGAACGAAGUGUUCGUCACCUUACAUAAACUGAGUUAGGUAAGUUUUCCUUUUGUUAGAGGAAAGUUCUUCGUACGGUUAUUGGACUAGUGUUUGAAACGUUGAGAGUGUGUUCGCACAUCGCUUAAAUUACAGCUACAACCUAGGAAACGGGCCAACUGGAUCUCCUAAUGGGUUUCGUUUUUAUUGUAUUGAUACUACCCUUCCGUCACUCUCUCAAGUUCGUCAAGUCCUUCGAUGGGUUUACCGAGUAGAGUAGUUGGUGAAGACAAGGGUUAGUCCUUGGCUGACGAAGCCGAUAAUACCGUUGAGGAUAUCAAGAACUACUAUCAUCCCUAUAGGAAACAACCUUCGGGUGAGGAAGACCAUUCACGUUAAGAUUCUCAUGUAUAUUCAACACAAAUGUUGUUUAAGUAUUAAACGUCCGUUUAGUUGGUUCUGUCCACUUGGUUAGUUGGUUUCUAUAAAACGUCGUCCAGACCUUCGUGUUUAAGUACCGAGGUUCCCAAUUUUGAAAACGCACCGCGAAUGAAUCCGUACGAGAGGGUUGACCAGAAUCUCGACCGUCCAAAAGGAGAGUAUAAAGAAGAUGUACGAGAUCUACACUAAGUCUAUUUCUACUUUACGUAGAAAAGAAAGAAACGUUGAAACGAUCUCGGAGAACCAAGCCCGUGGGGCCAUAUAAUCUAGACUAUAAGAACGAGAGUUAGUAUUAAGGCAAGAACUAUAAUAAGUCCAAGAUUAAUUGUACUUGGUAGGCAUUCGUAGAUAAGGAUUAUAUAAAUGGAACACCACAAACACCUUUCGUUCUUUACCACAAGAAAAAACAUCCAUUCAUAGUGUAAGGGUAGUCCAAGUGGUUCGACGAGAUCGGUAGCGGAGACAGGUUCUAUACGUUCUAGGGGUUCUUGUGGAUUUAUCCCUCGACGGAAGAAGCUUCCUCUUCGUUAGAUGUUGGUAUGAGAGAGUUCCCGUUCUUGUUCAUGUAGUUCCGAGGUGGGAGUUUAGACUGAACCGAUAAAGUCCGAAGUUGAAGUCGUUCCAAGAAAAGAGUGAUUGUUAGAAAGUAAUCGUUUCUACCGAAGAAGUUCUCUAUAGUUAUUGUGGUUGUAGUCGACCUCCACGUCUGUUGGUUAAUCGCUCAAUAAAGUUUAGAGGGUAAGAGAAUUACAACAAAUAGUGUAGAGAUCCUUAUGGUUACCUUAACGAGUGUUAACACGAGUAGUCCAAGAGUUGAGCUCUCAUCUUGGACAGAAAUCAACAAGUGCAAGAAGAGUACCGUUACAUGGAAAGGGAAAAGACGUUAGGGAGGAGUUAAAAGUUCAAGUCCCGAUACAUUAAGUACGACAUGUAACAGAUACU
This 4795-nucleotide ribosomal RNA is filed under the name Triticum aestivum (bread wheat). Its description in RNAcentral is "partial small subunit ribosomal RNA". The record is from RNAcentral. Lineage: Eukaryota; Viridiplantae; Streptophyta; Magnoliopsida; Poales; Poaceae.